This 253-nucleotide ribosomal RNA is filed under the name uncultured archaeon. RNAcentral's name for it is "partial 16S ribosomal RNA". It matches the Rfam family "Archaeal small subunit ribosomal RNA", at positions 474 to 727 of the family's 1478-position model. The record is from RNAcentral.
AACCAGCACCUCAAGUGGUCAGGAUGAUUAUUGGGCCUAAAGCAUCCGUAGCCUGUUCUGUAAGUUUUCGGUUAAAUCUAUGCGCUCAACGUAUAGGCUGCCGAAAAUACUGCAGAACUAGGGAGUGGGAGAGGUAGACGGUACUCGGUAGGAAGGGGUAAAAUCCUUUGAUCUAUUGAUGACCACCUGUGGCGAAGGCGGAUUUCUGGGCUGGCACUGACGCUGAGGUGCGAAAGCUGAGGGAGCGAACAGG